Vespa crabro (European hornet) is the source of this 1923-nucleotide long non-coding RNA. RefSeq lists it as uncharacterized. The transcript has 3 exons. NCBI's taxonomy places the organism in Eukaryota, Metazoa, Arthropoda, Insecta, Hymenoptera, Vespidae. The record is from RefSeq and is a predicted model, not a curated record.
CAGGUUUGUGGGCGUCCUGAGAGAGCUACCUGUACCGCUUCUUCUGGGCCCUUCCGAUCCUCUGAGCCUCUCUCCUCCUCAACUUCGGCCUCUCCUUUUGAUAGAGGAACCCUCGCUCCUACGGAAGGGUCUUCGUAAAAGAUCAGAAAAAAAGGUCAUGCGGUGGGAGAAGGGAGAGAAGCAGGAAAGGGAAACGGACCACGUCUACCGUGAGCGCUCUUAUGCAUACACGUUCACCUGCGCGAGAGCGCGCGCGUAACAUAAUACGAUGAGGAUCCCAUCGUGCAAAUGCCAAAAGAAUUUCGUUACUCGAGAGUAUGCGCGCUGCUGUCCAGGGACGCCUUGGGAUUUGAACCUUCUCCCGCUAUAGAAGUGGUUCGACACACUUCCUUCCCUUCCAAUAAUAAAAACAAUUUAGAUGUUUUCAACGAUUCGCCUUUUUCUAAUCGUUCUCACCUUUAAUCGGACAUAAUUAGGUACAUGUUAUGGUUUUGCUUACGAACAAAUCAAAUCCUUUCUACGUAAUAAUAAUAACUGUAAUAUGCUGUGUUUUUACAACGCCGUAUCGCUGAUAUCGCUAUAUCAUACGUACUUGUGUUAAAGCGCUUCCUUUUAUUUCUCACGAGUAUCGAUGGAACACAUUCGAUUCUACGUAUCCUUAGAUAUACGCACACCUAUGUAUAUAUAUAUAUAUAUAUAUAUAUAUAUACAUACAUACAUAUAUAUACAUACAUACAUACAUAUAUAUACAUACAUACAUAUAUAUAUACACAUAUAGCAAUAUAUAGAGGCACGCACAUAUAUAGAGAUAUCUAUAAUAUGAAGGUGACUGUGAAAGUGCACGCAUACGUAUGUAUAUAUAAAUGUAGACCUUAAAGAGCAGGUAGCGCGCUUUCAAUUCGCCUUUGAGAUAGCGCGGAAGAUCGAAGAAGCUUGGAACUUUUGAGAAGUUAGUAGAGAGGGUCCUCCUUUCUUUGACUGAUCGCACGUAAAUUUUGAAAGAAUCCACGGGUCCAUUGUGGAUCAUCGGUCGUGCGAGAAAAGAAAUUUUCCUUCGGCGAGCCGACCAUAAGAUCUUCCCACAUACCUGCGUCGUGAUUAAUGUCACGCCUGUACGAGACAUUUUUCAAGUUAUAUCUUUUUAUACGAAAAUACAUAUUUAAUGUAUUACGUCGGUUAACAUUAUCGUUCGUCGUAAGCUACACAGUGUUAAAGUCUAGACGAAACAGCCGGAUGGAUCAAAGUGACCUAUGGCCGUCAUGUUGUGUGUACAUAUGUAGCUGAAUCGAGUGAUCGAUUGAAAUCCCGUUGGCGUAUCUUAUUCUGUCAUUACUCGAUGGCACUGUGUAAUCGACGCAUAUCGCAUUUACGAUAGAGCAUCGAACGCUGUAAGCGAAGUGGUUUAGUAAUCCGGCAGCGGCACUUGCGCAAUCCAGGAAUUUCUCAUGCGAGGCGAAGGAAGGAAAUUGCGUUGCCCAAUUAGAAAUCGCGGGAGACCGCAGAAGGUGGAAAGGAACGAGAUAAAGGAAAGAAAAGGAGAUAAAAAUAGGGAGAGGGAGACGAAAGGAUGAUCGUAAGAAAGAAGAAAGAAGCACUGGAAUGAAGGAGGACGAGCGGUCGAAGAAGAAAGAAAAGGGUAGGAGGGCAAACGACGGAGAGGAGAAGAGAGCUCCACUCGUCAUCCCGGAUGUGCAACAUCUUUACAUGCUAUUCUUCGAUGCAGUUACCUACCAACACGAUUGUUCUCUUUUUCGCCUAUUAACGAGUCUUCAGAGUCUGUCUUAAGCGUUGAUGUCGUCACCUGCAACACAGCAACCUUAUGCAAUAAAUCAGAUAAUCGAUUACAUAAAAAGCAAGUUUAUGCAGGUAGUACGAUUGAACGAUGUUAUGGUAUAUUUUUAAUUAAAAAUAUAUAUCUAAAAA